RNAcentral lists this transfer RNA (76 nucleotides) under Actinoplanes sp. SE50/110. RNAcentral describes it as "tRNA-Arg". It matches the Rfam family "tRNA". From Rfam's summary of the family: Transfer RNA (tRNA) molecules are approximately 80 nucleotides in length. Their secondary structure includes four short double-helical elements and three loops (D, anti-codon, and T loops). The record is from RNAcentral. Lineage: Bacteria; Bacillati; Actinomycetota; Actinomycetes; Micromonosporales; Micromonosporaceae. RNAcentral also lists the same sequence under 1 other name.
GCCUUCGUAGCUCAGUGGAGAGAGCGCGGCGUUCCGGGCGCCGAGGUCGCUGGUUCGAGUCCAGCCGGGGGCGCGA